CUCCCGCGUCACUCCCGGCCGCAUACCAGCCCGGGCGGGGCGCCCGCGGCCUUGCUCCCCGGCGCCCGCUCCGCCCCGCCGGCCGCUUCCUGCACCUCCCGGCCCGGCCGCCACCUGCCCUGCGGUGGAAGUCCGCAGCCCGGGAGCGCCGCUUCUCCCUAGCGCCUUGUAGCAGUGGGUUAAAAAAAAAACAGAACAGUACGGACCCUCCAGCGAGACUGGCGUUUACACUUCGGCCACUCCUUUAGCCUCCAUUUGGGGAUUUGGUCCAGGGACAGACGCUGAGAAGAAAUAACAGCGUGGAAGCCAAGUCCUCCAUUUACUAUUGGCUGUCUAACAUCACACUUCCCACCACCUACGGUCUGUGCCGUGGAAGAGCCAGGUGAUGGUGGCACACACUUUUAAUCCCAGCACUCAGGAGGCAGAGAGGCAGGCAGAUCUCUGAGUUCAAGGCCAGCCUGGUCUACAAAGUGAGUUCCAGAACAGCAAGGGGGGUUACACAGAGAAACCCUGUCUUGGAAAAAAAUAAGCCAAAAAAAAAAAAAAAAAGCCACAAGCUUCCCAUGUAUAGCUGGAGCAGUUCAGGAACCAGG
RNAcentral lists this long non-coding RNA (593 nucleotides) under Cricetulus griseus (Chinese hamster). RNAcentral describes it as "lncRNA (ENSCGRG00015041845.1)". Lineage: Eukaryota; Metazoa; Chordata; Mammalia; Rodentia; Cricetidae. The record is from RNAcentral.